This 294-nucleotide ribosomal RNA is filed under the name uncultured bacterium. RNAcentral describes it as "partial 16S ribosomal RNA". It matches the Rfam family "Bacterial small subunit ribosomal RNA", at positions 32 to 301 of the family's 1533-position model. The record is from RNAcentral.
AAUCAACGCUGGCGGCGUGCCUCAGACAUGCAAGUCGAACGCGAAAGGCCCCUUCGGGGGCCCGGUAGAGUGGCGCACGGGUGAGUAACACGUAGGUAAUUUGCCUUCGGGUGGGGAAGUAACAGCCGGAAACGGCUGCUAAUACCGCAUAAUAGCAGCGGCUCGACAUCGAGACAGUUGUUAAAGACGGGGGAGUCGCAAGACCUCGCGCCUGAAGAGAAGCCUGCGGCAGAUAGUCUUGUUGGUGAGGUAAUGGCUCACCAAGGCGACGAUCUGUAACCGGCCUGAGAGGGC